AGGAGGAGUUGUGUACAACUGGUGUUAAUCCUUAUUGAAACAUCUGGAAGAAUUCUCUAGAGAACAAUUCUUAGCCUGGAAAAUAAAGUGGAGAGCAUCCUCUGACUGGAGAUUACUGUAAUUACAUGGAGAAUCAAAGGGCAGAGUGACAUUAGAAGUGGGAGGAGGAAGAGUAAUCUGGCGAACGAGGGAGUGAAUUAUCCCUAGACCUGUUAUCAUUCAAGGGUGGAAAGAAAGAUGGGAAGACACAAGAGCACUUCUGAAAGUUCGACCUAGAGUCCAAGAAUUUCGGAAAUAUCUGCCAUUGUCUGACUUUGCAUUUUAGCGUAAACAGAAAAUGAAUAGAGAUGAUCUUUGAAUAAACUGGCUUAUAUGCAACAAACGUUAUUUUAUAAUCCAUCAAACAGAUCAGGCCACUUAAAAAUGACUCAAAAAUCUCUCAAGAGUCAUAAUUUCAACCCAGCUUGGUCAUCCCAAUACCUGUGUUCUCUGCU
This is a long non-coding RNA of Felis catus (domestic cat), 494 nucleotides long. RefSeq lists it as uncharacterized. The record is from RefSeq and is a predicted model, not a curated record. The transcript is spliced from 3 exons. NCBI's taxonomy places the organism in Eukaryota, Metazoa, Chordata, Mammalia, Carnivora, Felidae.